UACGUAGGGGGCAAGCGUUGUCCGGAUUUAUUGGGCGUAAAGAGCGUGUAGGCGGCUUGGUAGGUCCGCUGUGAAAACUCGAGGCUCAACCUCGAGACGCCGGUGGAAACCAUCAGGCUAGAGUCCGGAAGAGGAGAGUGGAAUUCCUGGUGUAGCGGUGAAAUGCGCAGAUAUCAGGAAGAACACCCGUGGCUAAGGCGACUCUCUAGUACGGUACUGACGCUGAGACGCGAAAGCGUGGGGAGCGAACAGG
RNAcentral lists this ribosomal RNA (253 nucleotides) under uncultured bacterium. RNAcentral's name for it is "partial 16S ribosomal RNA". It matches the Rfam family "Bacterial small subunit ribosomal RNA", at positions 524 to 776 of the family's 1533-position model. The record is from RNAcentral.